UGGGGAGUGACGUCAAGUCCUCAUGGCCUUUAUGACCAGGGCUACACACGUACUACAAUGGCCGAUACAAAGGGCGAGCGACACUGCGAGGUAGAAGACCAAAUCCCGUAAAAUACGGUCUCAGUCCGGAUUGGAGUCUGCAACUCGACUCCAUGAAGUUGGAAUCGCUAGUAAUCGUGGAUCAGCAUGCCACGGUGAAUACGUUCCCGGGCCUU
This 215-nucleotide ribosomal RNA is filed under the name uncultured Desulfobulbus sp. RNAcentral describes it as "partial 16S ribosomal RNA". It matches the Rfam family "Bacterial small subunit ribosomal RNA", at positions 1173 to 1382 of the family's 1533-position model. Lineage: Bacteria; Pseudomonadati; Thermodesulfobacteriota; Desulfobulbia; Desulfobulbales; Desulfobulbaceae. The record is from RNAcentral.